This 1347-nucleotide ribosomal RNA is filed under the name Salmonella enterica. RNAcentral's name for it is "bacterial LSU rRNA". It matches the Rfam family "Bacterial large subunit ribosomal RNA", at positions 1 to 1378 of the family's 2925-position model. The record is from RNAcentral. Lineage: Bacteria; Pseudomonadati; Pseudomonadota; Gammaproteobacteria; Enterobacterales; Enterobacteriaceae.
GGGUUGUGAGGUUAAGCGACUAAGCGUACACGGUGGAUGCCCUGGCAGUCAGAGGCGAUGAAGGGCGUGCUAAUCUGCGAUAAGCGCCGGUAAGGUGAUAUGAACCGUUAUAACCGGCGAUACCCGAAUGGGGAAACCCAGUGUGACUCGUCACACUAUCAUUAACUGAAUCCAUAGGUUAAUGAGGCGAACCGGGGGAACUGAAACAUCUAAGUACCCCGAGGAAAAGAAAUCAACCGAGAUUCCCCCAGUAGCGGCGAGCGAACGGGGAGGAGCCCAGAGCCUGAAUCAGCAUGUGUGUUAGUGGAAGCGUCUGGAAAGGCGCGCGAUACAGGGUGACAGCCCCGUACACAAAAGCGCACAUGCUGUGAGCUCGAUGAGUAGGGCGGGACACGUGGUAUCCUGUCUGAAUAUGGGGGGACCAUCCUCCAAGGCUAAAUACUCCUGACUGACCGAUAGUGAACCAGUACCGUGAGGGAAAGGCGAAAAGAACCCCGGCGAGGGGAGUGAAAAAGAACCUGAAACCGUGUACGUACAAGCAGUGGGAGCACCCUUUGGGGUGUGACUGCGUACCUUUUGUAUAAUGGGUCAGCGACUUAUAUUCUGUAGCAAGGUUAACCGAAUAGGGGAGCCGGAGGGAAACCGAGUCUUAAUUGGGCGUUAAGUUGCAGGGUAUAGACCCGAAACCCGGUGAUCUAGCCAUGGGCAGGUUGAAGGUUGGGUAACACUAACUGGAGGACCGAACCGACUAAUGUUGAAAAAUUAGCGGAUGACCUGUGGCUGGGGGUGAAAGGCCAAUCAAACCGGGAGAUAGCUGGUUCUCCCCGAAAGCUAUUUAGGUAGCGCCUCGUGAAUUCAUCUCCGGGGGUAGAGCACUGUUUCGGCUAGGGGGCCAUCCCGGCUUACCAACCCGAUGCAAACUGCGAAUACCGGAGAAUGUUAUCACGGGAGACACACGGCGGGUGCUAACGUCCGUCGUGAAGAGGGAAACAACCCAGACCGCCAGCUAAGGUCCCAAAGUCAUGGUUAAGUGGGAAACGAUGUGGGAAGGCCCAGACAGCCAGGAUGUUGGCUUAGAAGCAGCCAUCAUUUAAAGAAAGCGUAAUAGCUCACUGGUCGAGUCGGCCUGCGCGGAAGAUGUAACGGGGCUAAACCAUGCACCGAAGCUGCGGCAGCGACACUCAGGUGUUGUUGGGUAGGGGAGCGUUCUGUAAGCCUGCGAAGGUGGCCUGUGAGGGUUGCUGGAGGUAUCAGAAGUGCGAAUGCUGACAUAAGUAACGAUAAAGCGGGUGAAAAGCCCGCUCGCCGGAAGACCAAGGGUUCCUGUCCAACGUUAAUCGGGGCAGG